GGGGAUGUAGCUCAGUGGUAGAGUAUUUGCCUAGCAUGCAUAAAGCUUCAAGUUCCAUUCCCA
This 63-nucleotide transfer RNA is filed under the name Heterocephalus glaber (naked mole-rat). It matches the Rfam family "tRNA". Rfam says of the family: Transfer RNA (tRNA) molecules are approximately 80 nucleotides in length. Their secondary structure includes four short double-helical elements and three loops (D, anti-codon, and T loops). The record is from Rfam by way of RNAcentral. Lineage: Eukaryota; Metazoa; Chordata; Mammalia; Rodentia; Bathyergidae.